CUUGAUCGACCCCAACCACAACGGCCGAUCCUCCGGCCGAUCCUGCCCAUACGUCGCCAACAACGCCUGAGCCUC
Streptomyces sp. is the source of this 75-nucleotide non-coding RNA. It matches the Rfam family "ASpks TB sRNA". Lineage: Bacteria; Bacillati; Actinomycetota; Actinomycetes; Kitasatosporales; Streptomycetaceae. The record is from Rfam.